RNAcentral lists this non-coding RNA (24 nucleotides) under Gossypium hirsutum (cotton). The record is from RNAcentral. Lineage: Eukaryota; Viridiplantae; Streptophyta; Magnoliopsida; Malvales; Malvaceae.
AACAUCCUGGCUGAAUCAAGUGAA